AUUGAACGCUGGCGGCAGGCCUAACACAUGCAAGUCGAACGGUAACAGGAAGAAGCUUGCUUCUUUGCUGACGAGUGGCGGACGGGUGAGUAAUGUCUGGGAAACUGCCUGAUGGAGGGGGGUAACUACUGGAAACGGUAGCUAAUACCGCAUAACGUCGCAAGACCAAAAAGGGGGACCUUCGGGCCUCUUGCCAUCGGAUGUGCCCAGAUGGGAUUAGCUAGUAGGUGGGGUAACGGCUCACCUAGGCGACGAUCCCUAGCUGGUCUGAGAGGAUGACCAGCCACACUGGAACUGAGACACGGUCCAGACUCCUACGGGAGGCAGCAGUGGGGAAUAUUGCACAAUGGGCGCAAGCCUGAUGCAGCCAUGCCGCGUGUAUGAAGAAGGCCUUCGGGUUGUAAAGUACUUUCAGCGGGGAGGAAGGGAGUAAAGUUAAUACCUUUGCUCAUUGACGUUACCCGCAGAAGAAGCACCGGCUAACUCCGUG
This 490-nucleotide ribosomal RNA is filed under the name uncultured bacterium. RNAcentral describes it as "partial 16S ribosomal RNA". It matches the Rfam family "Bacterial small subunit ribosomal RNA", at positions 30 to 507 of the family's 1533-position model. The record is from RNAcentral.